GACAGAGGGUGCGAACGUUGUUCGGAAUUACUGGGCGUAGAGCGCGUGUAGGCUGUUCGGAAAGUCGGGUGUGAAAGCCCUGGGCUCAACCUAGGAAGUGCACUCGAAACUCCCGAACUGGAGUCCCGGAGAGGAAGGUGGAAUUCUCGGUGUAGAGGUGAAAUUCGUAGAUAUCGAGAGGAACAUCGGUGGCGAAGGCGGCCUUCUGGACGGUGACUGACGCUGAGACGCGAAAGCGUGGGGAGCAAACAGG
This 253-nucleotide ribosomal RNA is filed under the name uncultured bacterium. RNAcentral's name for it is "partial 16S ribosomal RNA". It matches the Rfam family "Bacterial small subunit ribosomal RNA", at positions 524 to 776 of the family's 1533-position model. The record is from RNAcentral.